UUCGCAAUGCCCGAAAGGGUGAACGAGCGACGCCGCGUGCGGGAUAAAGGUCUUCGGGUUGUAAACUCCUGUCGAGGGGGAGGAAGGGGCAACCUUGACCGAUCCCUGGAGGAAGCACGGGCUAAGUUCGUGCCAGCAGCCGCGGUAAGACGAACCGUGCGAACGUUAUUCGGAAUCACUGGGCUUAAAGCGCGUGUAGGCGGAUGGGAACGUCGGUCUUUGAAAGCCCCCGGCUCAACCGGGGAAGCGGAGCCGAAACGGCCGAUCUGGAGGGACGUAGGGGGACCUGGAACUUCCGGUGGAGCGAUGAAAUGCGUUGAGAUCGGAAGGAACGCCCGUGGCGAAAGCGAGGUCCUGGACGUCUGCUGACGCUGAGACGCGAAAGCUAGGGGAGCAAACGGGAUUAGAUACCCCGGUAGUCCUAGCCGUAAACGAUGGGCACUAAGUAGAGGGGUUUU
Molecule: ribosomal RNA, 458 nt
Filed under: uncultured bacterium
Lineage: Bacteria
Description: bacterial SSU rRNA
Rfam family: Bacterial small subunit ribosomal RNA
Source: RNAcentral